GUGAACGCUGGCGGUAGGCCUAACACAUGCAAGUCGAACGGCAGCACAGUAAGAGCUUGCUCUUACGGGUGGCGAGUGGCGGACGGGUGAGGAAUACAUCGGAAUCUACUUUUUCGUGGGGGAUAACGUAGGGAAACUUACGCUAAUACCGCAUACGACCUACGGGUGAAAGCAGGGGAUCUUCGGACCUUGCGCGAUCGAAUGAGCCGAUGUCGGAUUAGCUAGUUGGCGGGGUAAAGGCCCACCAAGGCGACGAUCCGUAGCUGGUCUGAGAGGAUGAUCAGCCACACUGGAACUGAGACACGGUCCAGACUCCUACGGGAGGCAGCAGUGGGGAAUAUUGGACAAUGGGCGCAAGCCUGAUCCAGCCAUACCGCGUGGGUGAAGAAGGCCUUCGGGUUGUAAAGCCCUUUUGUUGGGAAAGAAAAGCAGCAGGUUAAUACCCCGCUGUUCUGACGGUACCCAAAGAAUAAGCACCGGCUAACUUCGUG
Molecule: ribosomal RNA, 491 nt
Filed under: uncultured bacterium
Lineage: Bacteria
Description: partial 16S ribosomal RNA
Rfam family: Bacterial small subunit ribosomal RNA
Source: RNAcentral